This is a long non-coding RNA of Cucurbita moschata (crookneck pumpkin), 394 nucleotides long. RefSeq lists it as uncharacterized. Lineage: Eukaryota; Viridiplantae; Streptophyta; Magnoliopsida; Cucurbitales; Cucurbitaceae. The transcript has 3 exons. The record is from RefSeq and is a predicted model, not a curated record.
GGGGGCUGUACAUGCAGCUCUCAGCAAAUUUUACGAGAUCCUUCGGUCGAGGAAGACGAGAAGCCAGACCUGUAAAUGUUAUAUGAUGCAACUCAACUUUAGCAGCAAUGUUAGCAGAUAUCUUUCUGAUGUUGGUAAAAGGAGGGUAAAUCAAUCCCUUAUCAUAGUUUUCCUGACUCACUUGGGCAGCCAGAGCCGCAGCUGGAAAGAGAAAAAAACCUGUUAAAUCGAGCUCUGACCCGGCAAAACUAAUACUCGACAUGCGUUGGACAGGGGCUGCCAGGAGCAUGUCAUCGUGCACACGAAUCGUGCCCGACAUGAUCAGACCCAAGCCAAAUCCAGGGAAUAUGUAAGCAUUGUUGGCCUGAAUGACAUUAGGAAGAGAAAGCAAGCU